UACAGAGGUCCCAAGCGUUGUUCGGAUUCACUGGGCGUAAAGGGUGCGUAGGCGGUCGGGUAAGUCCGAUGUGAAAUCUCACAGCUUAACUGUGAAACUGCAUUGGAUACUAUCCGGCUAGAGGAUGGAGGGGAGACUGGAAUACUUGGUGUAGCAGUGAAAUGCGUAGAUAUCAAGUGGAACACCAGUGGCGAAGGCGAGUCUCUGGACAUUUCCUGACGCUGAGGCACGAAAGCCAGGGGAGCAAACGGG
RNAcentral lists this ribosomal RNA (252 nucleotides) under uncultured bacterium. RNAcentral describes it as "partial 16S ribosomal RNA". It matches the Rfam family "Bacterial small subunit ribosomal RNA", at positions 524 to 776 of the family's 1533-position model. The record is from RNAcentral.